RNAcentral lists this ribosomal RNA (460 nucleotides) under uncultured bacterium. RNAcentral describes it as "partial 16S ribosomal RNA". It matches the Rfam family "Bacterial small subunit ribosomal RNA", at positions 338 to 795 of the family's 1533-position model. The record is from RNAcentral.
CCUACGGGUGGCAGCAGUGAGGAAUAUUGGUCAAUGGACGAGAGUCUGAACCAGCCAAGUAGCGUGAAGGAUGACUGCCCUAUGGGUUGUAAACUUCUUUUAUAAAGGAAUAAAACGAGGCACGUGUGCCUUUUUGCAUGUACUUUAUGAAUAAGGAUCGGCUAACUCCGUGCCAGCAGCAGCGGUAAUACGGAGGAUACGAGGGUUGUCCGGAUUGAUGGGGUUUAAAGGGAGCGUAAAUGGGUUGUUAAGUCAGUUGUGAAAGUUUGCGGCUCAACAGUAAAAGUGCAAUUGAUACUGGCAGUCUUGAGUACAGUUGAGGUAGGCGGAAUUCGUGGUGUAGCGGUGAAAUGCUUAGAUAUCACGAAGAACUCCGAUUGCGAAGGCAGCUUACUAAACUGCCACUGACAUUGAUGCUCGAAAGUGUGGGUAUCAAACAGGAUUAGAUACCCGGGUAGUC